CAGUAGCCGCGGUAAUACAGAGGGUGCGAGCGUUAAUCGGAUUUACUGGGCGUAAAGCGUGCGUAGGCGGCUUCUUAAGUCGGAUGUGAAAUCCCUGAGCUUAACUUAGGAAUUGCAUUCGAUACUGGGAAGCUAGAGUAUGGGAGAGGAUGGUAGAAUUCCAGGUGUAGCGGUGAAAUGCGUAGAGAUCUGGAGGAAUACCGAUGGCGAAGGCAGCCAUCUGGCCUAAUACUGACGCUUAGGUACGAAAGCAUGGGGAGCAAACAGGAUUAGAUACCCGCGUAGUCCCUGUCUCUUAUAC
This 301-nucleotide ribosomal RNA is filed under the name uncultured bacterium. RNAcentral's name for it is "partial 16S ribosomal RNA". It matches the Rfam family "Bacterial small subunit ribosomal RNA", at positions 509 to 807 of the family's 1533-position model. The record is from RNAcentral.